Molecule: ribosomal RNA, 497 nt
Filed under: uncultured bacterium
Lineage: Bacteria
Description: partial 16S ribosomal RNA
Rfam family: Bacterial small subunit ribosomal RNA
Source: RNAcentral
GAUGAACGCUGGCGGCGUGCCUAAUACAUGCAAGUCGAGCGAACGGACGAGAAGCUUGCUUUUCUGAUGUUAGCGGCGGACGGGUGAGUAACACGUGGAUAACCUACCUAUAAGACUGGGAUAACUUCGGGAAACCGGAGCUAAUACCGGAUAAUAUUUUGAACCGCAUGGUUCAAAAGUGAAAGACGGUGUUGCUGUCACUUCUAGAUGGAUCCGCGCUGCAUUAGGUAGUUGGUAAGGUAAAGGCUUACCAAGGCAACGAUGCAUAGCCGACCUGAGAGGGUGAUCGGCCACACUGGAACUGAGACACGGUCCAGACUCCUACGGGAGGCAGCAGUAGGGAAUCGUCCGCAAUGGGCGAAAGCCUGACGGAGCAACGCCGCGUGAGUGAUGAAGGUCUUCGGAGCGUAAAACUCUGUUAUUAGGGAAGAACGUAUGUGUAAGUAACUGUGCACAUCUUGACGGUACCUAAUCAGAAAGCCACGGCUAACUACGUG